GGUGCUUGCACCCCGCUGACGAGCGGCGGACGGGUGAGUAAUGCAUAGGAAACUGCCCAGUAGUGGGGGAUAGCCCGGGGAAACCCGGAUUAAUACCGCAUACGCCCUUUGGGGGAAAGCAGGGGAUCUUCGGACCUUGCGCUAUUGGAUGUGCCUAUGUCGGAUUAGCUAGUUGGUGGGGUAAGAGCCUACCAAGGCGACGAUCCGUAGCUGGUCUGAGAGGAUGAUCAGCCACAUCGGGACUGAGACACGGCCCGAACUCCUACGGGAGGCAGCAGUGGGGAAUAUUGGACAAUGGGGGCAACCCUGAUCCAGCCAUGCCGCGUGUGUGAAGAAGGCUUUCGGGUUGUAAAGCACUUUCAGUGAGGAGGAAAAGUUGGUCCCUAAUACGGGCCAGCCUUGACGUUACUCACAGAAGAAGCACCGGCUAACUCCGUGCCAGCAGCCGCGGUAAUACGGAGGGUGCAAGCGUUAAUCGGAAUUACUGGGCGUAAAGCGCGCGUAGGUGGUUUGAUAAGCGAGAUGUG
This 527-nucleotide ribosomal RNA is filed under the name marine sediment bacterium BB0608_AND_2.2_4S0. RNAcentral's name for it is "bacterial SSU rRNA". It matches the Rfam family "Bacterial small subunit ribosomal RNA", at positions 75 to 596 of the family's 1533-position model. The record is from RNAcentral.